This 2408-nucleotide long non-coding RNA is filed under the name Canis lupus familiaris (dog). RNAcentral's name for it is "lncRNA (ENSCAFG00000054339.1, ENSCAFG00805026560.1)". The record is from RNAcentral. Lineage: Eukaryota; Metazoa; Chordata; Mammalia; Carnivora; Canidae.
AUAUGUUCCAAGAACCCCAGUGGAUGCCUGAAACCAUAGAUAGUACUGAACCCCAUUUUCACUAUUUUUCCCCAUAUAUACUUAUGAUACAGUUUAAUUUCUAAAAUAAGCACAGUAAGAGAUUAACAAUAAAAUAGAACGAUUAUAACAAUAUACUAUUUUAUGUGAAUGUGGUACUUCCCUCUGCAGCUCUCUUUCAAAAUAUCUUAUUGUACUGUACUUACCCUUCUUGUGAUAAUGAGAUAAAAUGCCUAGUGAUGAGCUGAAAUGUGAAUGACACAGGCAUUGUGACGCAGGAUUGUGACAGCGUUAGGCUACUAUUGACCUUCUGCUGAUUCGUCAGAAGGAGAACCUGCUUCCUGACUGUAACUGACAGCAGCAAUGGAUAACAGACUGUGGAAAGUGAAACCAGAAACCACUACGGAAAACAGAUGGUUCCAGGGGGUUCUUGUGGCCUACCCUAAAGAUGAAGGCAGGACAAUCACUUGUGUUUGGCUAAUGGAAAUGGAGUGUCUACAGUUGUGUUGUACUGAGAAUGUGGAGAAGCAGCUAAAGCUUCAGGAAGGCAAAGAUCAUCAUAAACCUGACUCUUCAAAAUCUUAACAUCUUGGUAUUUUAAGAACAUACAAUCUAAACAUGAGUGGCUGAGCCAUUAAAAGUCACCAAGUAGGGGAUCCCUGGGUGGCUCAGCAGUUUAGCGCCUGCCUUCAGCCCAGGGCAUGAUCCUGGAGUCCUGGGAUCAAGUCCCACAUCAGGCUCUCUGCAUGGAGCCUGCUUCUCCCUCUGCCGAUGUCUCUGCCUCUCUCUCUCUCUCUCUCUCUCUCUCUCAUGAAUAAAUAAAAUAUAAAAUAUUUUUUUUUAAAUGAAAAAAAUAAAAGUCACCAAGUAAAUCAUGAGCCAUCAUCCUGAGCAGGAACCGAAAAUGAGCUGGAAUUAGACUUUGAGACUUAGUGGGAUAUAUCUGUCCUUCAUGGAUAUUUUCUUUGUUCCCCACGAUGCCUUUAAAAAUGUCUUUAAAAUUUUUUUGUUUAAUUUCUUGAACUUCCAAACAUUUAGAAAAUGGGAACUAUCAUGUUAGAAAAAAAUCAAGUUGCCUCCGCCUGAAGAAUCAGAUCUAAGAUUUGGCCCAUGUUUCCAUGUGGCAAACGGGGCUAGAGUAUAUGGAAAAUGCAUUGUUUCACUGAAGUCCUCACCACUCUUGGAUGCCUCAUAACCCAGCCAGUUUUACUUAUUUAUAAUACUUGUCAGAUUCCUGAAGGAGUUUGUAAUUCCUGACUGAAGUACCAGAGUUCAGAGUACAUUACUAGAGAGAGAGAGACUAUAUCCCAUCUGUUAACUCAUAUACUCACCAGUAGUUUGAGGGGGGUAGGUUUCUAGAAUAUGAUAUUGUGUCUUUAAGGCUAUUUUUUUCCAGGCUGUGCAAAAGGAAUUGCUUACCCUUGCCCCAGGUUUCCUUGUUUGUCACUUUGAUCAGCUUGGUGUUUUCUGUUUGGUUAUCAGCAUUUGUGAAGAAGGACAGUGUGACCUCUGGGGCAGGAGGACCCUUAGAGUGAAGAAAGCUGUUAGCAAAUCAAUCCUAAAGUGAUUUAUUUCCAGGCAGUAGAUAGCAAGGAGGCAGUGUAUAUUUAUCAUUUGGACAAGGCCUUAAUAAAGAUAAAUUCAGAGUUUGAGUUCCUCUAAGGAAGUGGCUUUAACUUCUGACAUAUGCCAAAAUGCAUGUCACAGCUAAUUAGGUGGUGUCCACAUGUGCCUUGCAAGUGGGUAUAGUUAGGCAGUGAAUAGGAAUGAUAUUCUUGUCUGCAUUUAGAUGUGCCAUUGAUGGCCUGAAAAUUCAGGGGGCUUUGAGACUAAGGAACAAUGUCAAAAGUUAAAUCAAAGGAGAUCCCCAAAGCCAAUAAUGAAUGUAUGCUCAUUAUAAAAUCUAUGUCAAGACUUUGUUUAGCUGUAGCAUAGAGAGCAAAUGAACAGAAUGACAGUCUUACAUCCUUAUGAUGAAUAAAAUCAUGAUUGCUGAAUUUCAUUUUUAUUUUCUCCCAUCUGCAUUUGUCCAAUUUCUGCAGUUACCAAAAAGGGGAUAGGAGGGUUUAAAGGCCUAUUAUCCAAAUGAUCUCAGAAACUAGUACUUUGGGCUCUCUGCCUUGAGAAUCAGAACCUGGACUAAUAUAAGGCAAACCCCUGUGGCACAAAAUUUAAGAAGACUGUCACUCUCGGGGUCAUGCAAGUGUAGGGUCAGCGUGUUAGAAUGAGCACCUCCUUAAAUUGUGCUCCCUAGAGGCCUGGCUUACCCUUGUCCCAACCUUGUUGGGAACAUUUUCAUUCUUGAAUUGUGAGGCUAUAAGAGCUCACCAAUAGAACGGGACGGCUAAAAAAAUGUGGACUAUUUACAAAGUCAUGCACAAUACCACGUG